GAUGAACGCUGGCGGCGUGCCUAAUACAUGCAAGUCAAGCGAACAGACGAGGAGCUUGCUCCUCUGACGUUAGCGGCGGACGUGUGAGUAACACGUGUAUAACCUACCUAUAAGACUGGUAUCACUUCGGGAAACCGGAGCUAAUACCGGAUAAUAUAUUGAACCGCAUGGUUCAAUAGUGAAAGACGGUUUUGCUGUCACUUAUAGAUGGAUCCGCGCCGCAUUAGCUGGUUGGUAGGGUAACGGCUUAGCAAGGCAACGAUGCGUAGCCGACGUGAGAGAGUGGUAGGCCGCACUGGAGCUGGAACAGGGUCAAGGGUACUGCGAGACGGAGCAGACGGGAAUCGUCCGCAAUAGGCGAAAACUUGGCGGAGCGGCGCCGAGUGAGAGGUGACAGUCUUCGGAUCGUAAAACUCUGUUAUGAGUGAAAAACAGCUUUGUCAGUAAACAUACCCGUCUUGACGGUAACUAGUCAGAAAGCCACGGCUAACUACGUG
RNAcentral lists this ribosomal RNA (497 nucleotides) under uncultured bacterium. Its description in RNAcentral is "partial 16S ribosomal RNA". It matches the Rfam family "Bacterial small subunit ribosomal RNA", at positions 28 to 507 of the family's 1533-position model. The record is from RNAcentral.